This is a non-coding RNA of Pelobates cultripes (western spadefoot toad), 197 nucleotides long. Lineage: Eukaryota; Metazoa; Chordata; Amphibia; Anura; Pelobatidae. The record is from the annotation of a GenBank genome assembly.
CUGUUCCACAGAGUAGCUAUUGACAGGCGCGCAAAUGACCCACUUCCGACGCGGGAAGGUAGUGACGACAAAUUACAAUACAGGACUCUUUAGAGGCUCUGUAAUUGUAAUGAGUCAACUUGAAAUUCUUUAACUCUGAUCAAUUGGAGGGAAGUCUGGUGCAGAGCCACUGACCCGUGCGUGCUGCAGCUGAAACG